UACCUACGGGGGGCAGCAGUGGGGAAUAUUGGACAAUGGGCGCAAGCCUGACCCAGCAACGCCGCGUGAAGGAAGAAGGCUUUCGGGUUGUAAACUUCUUUUGACAGGGAAGAGCAGAAGACGGUACCUGUCGAAUAAGCCACGGCUAACUACGUGCCAGCAGCCGCGGUAAUACGUAGGGGGCAAGCGUUGUCCGGAUUUACUGGGUGUAAAGGGCGUGUAGCCGGGCUGACAAGUCAGAUGUAAAAUCCGGGGUCUCACCCCCCGCCCU
This 271-nucleotide ribosomal RNA is filed under the name uncultured bacterium. Its description in RNAcentral is "partial 16S ribosomal RNA". It matches the Rfam family "Bacterial small subunit ribosomal RNA", at positions 335 to 622 of the family's 1533-position model. The record is from RNAcentral.